CCUGGUGGUUUAAGCGAGGCGGACCCACCCGUUCCCAUCCCGAACACGGCAGUGAAACGCCUCAGCGCUCACGAUACUGCUCUGGCAACGGGGUGGGAAAAUAGGUCAUUGCCAGGG
Molecule: ribosomal RNA, 117 nt
Filed under: SAR202 cluster bacterium
Lineage: Bacteria; Bacillati; Chloroflexota; Dehalococcoidia
Source: RNAcentral